Bombus pyrosoma is the source of this 3662-nucleotide long non-coding RNA. RefSeq lists it as uncharacterized. The transcript has 5 exons. NCBI's taxonomy places the organism in Eukaryota, Metazoa, Arthropoda, Insecta, Hymenoptera, Apidae. The record is from RefSeq and is a predicted model, not a curated record.
CGUAAUACUCGUUAUCAAAGGAGAAAAAGCAAAUGUAAUUUCGUGAUAAAUGCCUGGUCCGCUGUGUUUGAUAACUAAAGUCGUUCUUUGUGACUGCUUGAAGAUGCUGAAAUAGAGACUGCAAACAAAGAACGGAAGUCUCACAGCCGUGACGGAUGAAUCCGUUCUACCGCCUAAAAACAGGCUUUUAAUACCGAGACAGAAUCUUUUUAGCUUUUUUAACGUGUUUAUUUCCUUUCGUACGAGGAAUGAAUAGAAGUCAUAUAUCAGGUGUCCUCUAAUUUACAAUAAAAAUGGGAUCAUGGGGAGAUUCUGUGGCUCAAAAUAAGACGAAACUCAAGAUUAACAAAAUUGCGUUACAGGCUUCAUUUUUUAAAAAGUCGAAUUUGAACAUUUUUUUAUUAAUUGUCCUACUUUCGCAGCUACUUUCGGAUCUUUAUAAAACAGUCUGAUCAGACAGAAACACAGAUGCGAUCAUGCCCAAGAAUAUUUCCACAAAUUAUACUGCUUGAGAUUAUUGGUGAAGGAAACACAAUCGUAUAUUAUUAAGGCCAUGUGAUCAAACACAAUCUACGAUUAAUUACGAAAAUAUUGAUCGAUUAAACAUUAAACAAGUAAAAGAGCGCUGGUUUCGGUCGAAUCAACAUGAUUUAUCAAAAUCACGGUGAUUGCUAUUUGCAUUGGGACCAUUGUCGUGCACGUUACGCAAGAACGUGUUUGCACCACAUAAACGGGAAAUCGAUUUGUAUUUUACCUUUCACGCCAGCUCGCUUCGUCGAAAGAAUUCGUUCAAUUUCUCGUUGCAACACUAUUGUAUGACGAAUCAUCGUUUGCACGACCCUUUCGAGAUUAUGCAUACGUUUCGCUCGAGUAAACCAAUGACUCGUUCGUCCACGAAUCUUCUCUCCUUGUCGCGCUGGAUACAGUUAUGCUUGCAAAGCGAAUGUCGAGAAUAAGACGAAUCAUGCAAUGACGCAAAAUUUGCGUAUUUUUUGUUUGGAUUGUUAAGAAAUAUUCUUUCCUGCAGUAUUUAAUUCAGUUUGUUAAUGCAUCAGCAAAGUACAAAAACUAUCAAAGGAUGUAAUUAUUUUAAAACCGGGUUGCAUCGUCGUCUUUUAUGGAAAAAGGCCCUUCUAAGGAGUGUAUACACAACAUCUCCAUGUGGAUUCCAUAUACGCCGUGAGGAUAAAAAGAGAUCUUGGAUGUCAGACGAAGGUCGGCAUUGGACAAAGUACAGACAAAUACAUGAACUUUAUUUAAAGAGGAGAAAGCAUACAGAAGGUAAAAUUAAUAAUUAAAUAAUGCAGAAGAAUUGAAAGAAAAACGUUUUCUUCUAAAGAAAAAAGGAAGAGAAACUAUACUUUAACUAUAUAUAUAACAUAUAUGACUAUAAUUAUUUGCAAGGUGUUACAUAUGAAUUUGCUUAUAAAUACAUGUAGAACAUAAUACAUAGAUUUUAUUAUGAUAUAAUAAUAAAUAUGAAAUAUAGAAGAUAAUACUAAGAAUAAUACAAUGCAAAGAAAAGAUACAGGAAGAAAAUAAUGUCACUUAAAAGAUAACAUGCAAGAUAAGAUAUCUUUUAAAAGUCACGUUAAUGGGACAACCAUACUAUCAACUCGAUUGUCCACAGAACAUACGUAACAAAGAAGGAAUUACAAAGCUUUUGAGUUAUGUAACGUUAGAAUUUCUAGGAAUGGUAGAAAAUGACUACUGCAUUAAAUAUCAGUAGCUUAUGCCAGCAAAAUGAUGAAUUAGUCAACAGAUCAAAUGAGGCGGAUAAAUUAAAUUUCAUCUUCACUUAAUUAUCCGAGGAGCAGAAAUUAGGUCUGGCUCGAUGUUUCAAACAGGGUCAAUGAAUGCUCCGUUGAUACGCGCAAGAAUACAUAUUCACUUUUCCUCUGUAUCUAUGAUCGCAAUUUAAUCCGCGAAACCGGCGUUAUUAAUAGAAUCUCAUAGAAGAGAUCCAGACACUGUAUGGAGCACCGAGAAUAUGUAAUCCUCGAAGAAUAUCACGAGUCUUGUUUUAUGCCGCAAAACCGAAUUUGAAUAUGUUCAUUUAUUACAGUGAUAUUUUGAAUUAGGUACUAGAACAAUUCUCAUAAACAGUUGUUAGUUGGAGUUAUAGAAAAAAUGAGUCAUAAGCUUGUUAUCAGUAUUGUCGAUAUCUUGAAGGUAAUAAUGGCUUGUUCACUCAGAGAUCUCUUGUAUUUAAUGCAUCAGUAUGUUAUUCUUCACUAUACAUUACAUCAUGUAUAAAUACAUUUACGAGAAUUAACAUAGGUUCAAGUAGAAUUAAUUUGUAGUAGUUAAUUCUUAAUUACAUAAGUGAAGAUUCCUUCCUAGUGAGAAGUUAUGUAAUUAAUAAACUAACUAGUUUUUCUACUUGAAAAUAUUUUUUUCCUUAUAUCCAAUGAAGUCGAUUUGUUAUUUUUGUUAUAGAGUCUCAACGAACGAAGGAUUAGUUUAACAGUGGAGAUUGAACCGAUGUCAACGCCGCUUGUUGGCUAUUCUUAUAUUCUUCAUUUUUAUUGCUCCAACUGAUCAGUUUAGAUGUCAUAAAUACAUAGAUAGUUUGCAGUAGAAUUGGACAGAAUAGAAUAGGAUGAUAGUAUUAAUUGUAAGUACUUAUAGCGACGAACAUAUGGAUGGAUAAAGUCCUUAUACUAAUUUAAAAAAAAUUAAAUUAAUGAGUAAAUAUUUCCUUGCUUUAUAUGGUCAGUACGGUACAUUUUUUAUAUCGGUAUCAUACAUUCAUGUAUGAAUAUGAAUCAUAAUUCUGAUUCAACGAAGGUAGACUUUACUUUCUAGUUUGACCUCUACUUUUAAUUUCAAUUAAAUUGAGUUUUUCGUAUUUGUUUUUCGUGUUUUGUAUCUGAAGCAAUGCUACAAAACUGAGUAGCUAAUUUUCUAAAAUCUCAUAUAUAUAUUAUAUAUAUAUCAGUGUAUAUAAAUUAAGAGGUUAAAAAUAGAAACAAACGAAAUCGUACGACGUCACCAUUAUGAGAUCGCAAUGAUGUCUGCAUAACGGUCGUCUGCACCGGACCUAGACGAUAAAAAAUCGUUUUGACAUGUUGCGCUGUGGUAGUACAGCCGGUUCGUCCGUGAUUCCCCCAUCGAAUGGGUGUAAAUGAAUAAAUCCAUCCUCCUCGCAGGCUUCCCGUUGUGAAAGUUCGUGUCCACAAAAAUUCUUGGAAAUCAAAUAAAGAAUCGAGCAUAGCGUAGGUUUCGAAGCGACCGACCAGUCCACGGUCAUCGUCGUGGAACGAAGAAAAAGGAAGAAAAAAGAUAAUUCUGCUGAUCAAACGGUAUCACUGGUGCAGUACACGUAGAUCAGCGUUGGUUAUUGUUGCAUCGUCAGCUGUGACUAGAAAUUUUAUGGUGGACACAGUCAAAUCACAAAAGAGAGAAUGUUCUAGUUGAGAACAGAAUAUUAACUCUGUGCACUUGAAUAUUUCUUUGCAAAUAUAUGAUUGUUUGAGUAAACAUUUUUGUAAAGUAUUUUAUUUGAUACUGUGAAGUUACGUGUUAUGAGAUAAAAGCUGAAAAUAUAAUUUAGGAAAAAUAUUUCUGUAAUUGUAAGUUUAUGUAUGAGAGAAUUAUAAGAUAGUAAUUAAAAGUAAUUAUAAAUAAGUAUAUUUUAUAGUAAUUUUCUGAUACAAAAG